This 317-nucleotide unclassified non-coding RNA is filed under the name fungal sp. Its description in RNAcentral is "partial internal transcribed spacer region". The stretch from base 1 to 46 matches the Rfam family "Eukaryotic small subunit ribosomal RNA", at positions 1786 to 1831 of the family's 1831-position model. The record is from RNAcentral. Lineage: Eukaryota; Fungi.
AAGUCGUAACAAGGUUUCCGUAGGUGAACCUGCGGAAGGAUCAUUAUUAAAAUUAAUAAAUCCAACCUUAAACCACACUGAACUGUUCUUACGUUUGUUUGGAUGUCAAGAUUUUAGCAUGCAGGGGUACGGCCUCACUUACUAAUUUCUUUUCUUCCUUAUGAACGCGAUUUUUUUUUAAACCCUUUUGAACUUUAGUACUAAUUAAUGUUCUCUACCCAACCUAAAAAAUUGGGAUUGAACGUUUUCUUACAUGAAAACACCGAACAACUCUUAGCAACGGAUGUCUCGGCUCUCGUAACGAUGAAAAACGCAGC